This 200-nucleotide microRNA precursor is filed under the name Triticum aestivum (bread wheat). RNAcentral describes it as "MIR1435 microRNA precursor family". It matches the Rfam family "MIR1435 microRNA precursor family". RNAcentral also lists the same sequence under 1 other name. The record is from Rfam by way of RNAcentral. Lineage: Eukaryota; Viridiplantae; Streptophyta; Magnoliopsida; Poales; Poaceae.
UAGGUUUGUCCUAAGUAAAACUUGUUUAAGUUUGACCAACUCUAUAGAAAGAUGCACUAAGAUCUACAACACCAAAUACACAUAAUACGAAAGCAUAUUUCAUGAAGAAUCUCAUGAGACUAAUUUGGUGUUCUAGAUGCUAAUAUAUUUUUCUAUAGAAUUGGCCAAACUUAAACAAAUUUGACUUAGGACAAACCCGG